GACGAACGCUGGCGGCGUGCCUAAUACAUGCAAGUAGAACGCUGAAGGAGGAGCUUGCUUCUCCGGAUGAGUUGCGAACGGGUGAGUAACGCGUAGGUAACCUGCCUGGUAGCGGGGGAUAACUAUUGGAAACGAUAGCUAAUACCGCAUAAGAGUAGAUGUUGCAUGACAUUUGCUUAAAAGGUGCAAUUGCAUCACUACCAGAUGGACCUGCGUUGUAUUAGCUAGUUGGUGAGGUAACGGCUCACCAAGGCGACGAUACAUAGCCGACCUGAGAGGGGGAUCGGCCACGCUGGGACUGAGACACGGCCCAGACUCCUACGGGAGGCAGCAGUAGGGAAUCUUCGGCAAUGGACGGAAGUCUGACCGAGCAACGCCGCGUGAGUGAAGAAGGUUUUCGGAUCGUAAAGCUCUGUUGUAAGAGAAGAACGAGUGUGAGAGUGGAAAGUUCACACUGUGACGGUAUCUUACCAGAAAGGGACGGCUAACUACGUG
This 495-nucleotide ribosomal RNA is filed under the name uncultured bacterium. Its description in RNAcentral is "partial 16S ribosomal RNA". It matches the Rfam family "Bacterial small subunit ribosomal RNA", at positions 28 to 507 of the family's 1533-position model. The record is from RNAcentral.